RNAcentral lists this ribosomal RNA (488 nucleotides) under uncultured bacterium. RNAcentral's name for it is "bacterial SSU rRNA". It matches the Rfam family "Bacterial small subunit ribosomal RNA", at positions 30 to 507 of the family's 1533-position model. The record is from RNAcentral.
UGAACGCUAGCUACAGGCUUAACACAUGCAAGUCGAGGGGCAGCAUGGUCUUAGCUUGCUAAGGCCGAUGGCGACCGGCGCACGGGUGAGUAACACGUAUCCAACCUGCCGUCUACUCUUGGACAGCCUUCUGAAAGGAAGAUUAAUACAAGAUGGCAUCAUGAGUCCGCAUGUUCACAUGAUUAAAGGUAUUCCGGUAGACGAUGGGGAUGCGUUCCAUUAGAUAGUAGGCGGGGUAACGGCCCACCUAGUCUUCGAUGGAUAGGGGUUCUGAGAGGAAGGUCCCCCACAUUGGAACUGAGACACGGUCCAAACUCCUACGGGAGGCAGCAGUGGGGAAUAUUGGUCAAUGGGCGAGAGCCUGAACCAGCCAAGUAGCGUGAAGGAUGACUGCCCUAUGGGUUGUAAACUUCUUUUAUAAAGGAAUAAAGUCGGGUAUGUAUACCCGUUUGCAUGUACUUUAUGAAUAAGGAUCGGCUAACUCCGUG